This is a long non-coding RNA of Arabidopsis thaliana (thale cress), 245 nucleotides long. RefSeq annotates it as other RNA. The record is from RefSeq. NCBI's taxonomy places the organism in Eukaryota, Viridiplantae, Streptophyta, Magnoliopsida, Brassicales, Brassicaceae. The transcript has a single exon.
UUUGCAGGAGGAGAAGACAUAAUCAUGCUAGCUUUUCCUUACCUAAUCAAACCAGUGAUGAACGAUGGUGAGCGGUAGCUUUGGUGGACGUGACCUCCGAAACUCUCUUUCACUCUUGGUGAUCUCUUCCUAUCUCUCACCAACAUACGAUCACCACUACAGAAUCAGUGACAACAAUGCCUCACGGACUUAAAAACGAUGAUGGCCGGUGACUUUAGUUUCGGGCUUAAGAUGGAGACGUAAAU